UAACGCGAAAGGCCUUACCAGGUCUUGACAUCCCUUGCUAAUCCUAGAAAUAGGACGUUCCCUUCGGGGACAAGGUGACAGGUGGUGCAUGGUUGUCGUCAGCUCGUGUCGUGAGAUGUUGGGUUAAGUCCCGCAACGAGCGCAACCCUUAUUAUUAGUUGCCAGCAUUUAGUUGGGCACUCUAGUGAGACUGCCGGUGACAAACCGGAGGAAGGUGGGGAUGACGUCAAAUCAUCAUGCCCCUUAUGACCUGGGCUACACACGUGCUACAAUGGCAUAUACAACGAGUCGCCAACCCGCGAGGGUGCGCUAAUCUCUUAAAGUAUGUCUCAGUUCGGAUUGUAGGCUGCAACUCGCCUACAUGAAGUCGGAAUCGCUAGUAAUCGCGGAUCAGCACGCCGCGGUGAAUACGUUCCCGGGUCUUGUACACACCGA
This 435-nucleotide ribosomal RNA is filed under the name uncultured Weissella sp. RNAcentral's name for it is "bacterial SSU rRNA". It matches the Rfam family "Bacterial small subunit ribosomal RNA", at positions 957 to 1393 of the family's 1533-position model. Lineage: Bacteria; Bacillati; Bacillota; Bacilli; Lactobacillales; Lactobacillaceae. The record is from RNAcentral.